Long non-coding RNA from Salvelinus fontinalis (brook trout), 2105 nucleotides. RefSeq lists it as uncharacterized. NCBI's taxonomy places the organism in Eukaryota, Metazoa, Chordata, Actinopteri, Salmoniformes, Salmonidae. The transcript has 5 exons. The record is from RefSeq and is a predicted model, not a curated record.
UAGUGCGCAAUUAUUUCAAUUUGCCUUGCUAACUUCAGUAGUAAGUAGCAGUAGCUAGCCAGCGCAAGUGUGCAGUUUGGCAGAAUGACCAACGCUACCCGAGAAUGUUGUGGACUUUUUGUUGAAGAACCCCUUUCAUUCUCUGAGGUAAAUGGAAAAUGUGCGAAUUAAAACUGAGGGUUGACCUCUGCCUGAGAUCAGUUUCAUGAAGAACGAUGACAAGAUGAAGGAGUUCGUAUUGAUUGGUAUCAAAAGUUAGCUGGUUAACAGGGAGACUUUCAUCAAUCCGCCUGUACAGGCUGGCAAGUCUGAGCCAUGGGCGAAUAAAAAUAAAUAAAUGUAACCUUUAUUUAACUAGGCAAGUCAGUUCAAGAACAUAUUGGGAUUAUUUUGCUAAACGGCUUUAAACAGUUUCUCAUGCAUUGUCAAUGGGGUUUGAAACCAACCCGGAUGUAAUAUAAUUCUGGCCACAUGUUGACUCAGUGGCGCUUCUCCAUGCAAGACUUGGGAGGGGCGCACACUGUAAAUAGGAAUAGGUGCAUCACCGGCACUGGUCUAGCAAGCUAAAGUUAGCUAGUUAGUCACAGAAAUGUACGUUCAACCUGUUAAUUAUUUCUGUCCAAUUUGACUUAUCUUACGAAGUCAACAUGGCUUAAUAUAGUUUCUUUCGUUUUUUGACCUCGACAUUGUUGCUGGAUAGAUACUUGCAUAUAUUAGCUGCUAGCUAAUGCUAACGACGCUAGCUAACCUCAUAUCUGGAUGCCUCACGCGAGUUCCCGAGAGAGCAGCAUACUAACCCAUGUCCUGAGCAGGAAAGACCAGGAAAAGUGUUGGCUUAAGGUACAACUUCCGAUUGAGGAAAUGUAAGACAACUCAAUGUCAUAUUUGGAGUUACUGACAUGAAUAGAAGCAUAUACAAGCAAUCUAUCAAAUGUAUUUUAUAAAGCCCCUUUUAAAUCAGCAGUUGUCACAACGUGCUUAUACAGAUUCCCAGCCUAAAACCCCAAAGAGCAAGUAGUGCAGAUGUAGAAGCACAGUGGCUAGGAAAAACUCCCCAGAAAGGCAGGAACUGAGAGGCACCAGGCGCUGAGGGGUGGCCAGUCCCCUUCUGGCUGUGCUGGUGGAGAUUAUAAACGAGUACAGCCAUUUGGCCAGAUUAUUCUUCAAGACGUUUAAAUGUUCAUAGAUGAGCAGCAGUGUCAAAUAAGAGGUUUAUAGAGGGUGCAAUAGUUCAGCACCUCAGGAGUAAACGUCAGUUGCCUCUUCAUAGAUGAGCAUUUAGAGGUUGAGACAGUAGGUCUGGUAGAGAGAGACAGGAUCAAACAGCGGGUUUGGGACAAGUUAGUACCUCUGGUGGGCCUUGAGCAGGUCAGGAUUCCAUAUCUGCAGAUAGAAACAGCAGAGACUGGAUCAGCAGCCCGACUAGGUGGACUGAAGACAGGGAAAGCCAGGAGUCGUCAGGCCAGAUCUGUCAACUUGCUCGGUGGGUAGCAGGUAACCGUCCUUCCACCAAGCUGUUCCAGGCCUGGGCUGGCAGGCUGGAACUUCCAGAGGCGUGUAGACCUGAAGCGGUGUGAUGUGGUCCAGAUCUACCACCCCCAGCAGUUCAGCUGCAGUCAGCUGCUGUGGUAUUUAAUUUACCAGCUGCACCACACUGGCCAUGAAGGGAGAAACUUUUGAGGAUACCCAGAUGGAUACAGAUCUUCCAUGCCUGACAGCCUCACCCAGAAGUGCAUACACUGGGCCUAGCAAGACUGACAAAGCAAAAUAAAACAUGCACUCACACACAUUAUCCACAAUGUAAACAAGUUGUAAUUACAUGUUUAUUUAAUGUUUUCUCCAUUUUAUUUUAGGAUUGGAGAUAUCUACUCCUUCAUAGCCAUUCUCAAUAUCUACAUAAGUACUCUAAAUAUCUAUCAAAUCAAAGUGUGAUUGAUAAUAUUGUAAAAGACUAUGGCUUAAUGUUUACAGUUUGAGGAAAUUCUGUGUGUUGAAAAACAUGUCUUACUCUCACACACAAGACCCAAUGUAAACAAGUUAUUACAAUUUAUAUACUACAUUUUAUUUGAGGAAAAUAUCUGAAAUAAAGUACAUUCACUGUUAAA